This 465-nucleotide ribosomal RNA is filed under the name uncultured bacterium. RNAcentral describes it as "bacterial SSU rRNA". It matches the Rfam family "Bacterial small subunit ribosomal RNA", at positions 30 to 490 of the family's 1533-position model. The record is from RNAcentral.
AUUGAACGCUGGCGGAAUGCUUUACACAUGCAAGUCGAACGGCAGCACGGGGCAACCUGGUGGCGAGUGGCGAACGGGUGAGUAAUACAUCGGAACGUGCCCAAUCGUGGGGGAUAACGUAGCGAAAGUUACGCUAAUACCGCAUACGAUCUACGGAUGAAAGCGGGGGAUCGCAAGACCUCGCGCGAGUGGAGCGGCCGAUGUCAGAUUAGGCAGUUGGUGGGGUAAAGGCUCACCAAGCCAACGAUCUGUAGCUGGUCUGAGAGGACGACCAGCCACACUGGAACUGAGACACGGUCCAGACUCCUACGGGAGGCAGCAGUGGGGAAUUUUGGACAAUGGGCGCAAGCCUGAUCCAGCCAUUCCGCGUGCAGGAUGAAGGCCUCGGUUGUAAACUGCUUUGUUACGGAACGAAACGGACGAGCUCUAAUACAGUUUGCUAAUAGACGGUACCGUAAGAAUAAG